Molecule: ribosomal RNA, 497 nt
Filed under: uncultured bacterium
Lineage: Bacteria
Description: partial 16S ribosomal RNA
Rfam family: Bacterial small subunit ribosomal RNA
Source: RNAcentral
GAUGAACGCUGGCGGCGUGCCUAAUACAUGCAAGUCGAGCGAACAGACGAGGAGCUUGCUCCUCUGACGUUAGCGGCGGACGGGUGAGUAACACGUGGAUAACCUACCUAUAAGACUGGGAUAACUUCGGGAAACCGGAGCUAAUACCGGAUAAUAUAUUGAACCGCAUGGUUCAAUAGUGAAAGACGGUUUUGCUGUCACUUAUAGAUGGAUCCGCGCCGCAUUAGCUAGUUGGUAAGGUAACGGCUUACCAAGGCAACGAUGCGUAGCCGACCUGAGAGGGUGAUCGGCCACACUGGAACUGAGACACGGUACAGACUCCUACGGGAGGCAGCAGUAGGGAAUCUUACGCAAUGGGCGAAAGCCUGACGGAGCAACGCCGCGUGAGUGAUGAAGGUCUUCGGAUCGUAAAACUCUGUUAUUAGGGAAGAACAAAUGUGUAAGUAACUAUGCACGUCUUGACGGUACCUAAUCAGAAAGCCACGGCUAACUACGCG